Molecule: microRNA precursor, 105 nt
Filed under: Canis lupus familiaris (dog)
Lineage: Eukaryota; Metazoa; Chordata; Mammalia; Carnivora; Canidae
Also listed under: 1 other name
Description: mir-8834 microRNA precursor family
Rfam family: mir-8834 microRNA precursor family
Source: Rfam by way of RNAcentral
AGGAGGAACAACCACAGUGGCGGGGCCAGCUCUGGAGCCCUGGCGUCAGCUCCCGCAGUAACUACGGAGCUCUCCGUCUGCAGGGCCUGGAGGCUCCGGGGCGGA